Molecule: ribosomal RNA, 287 nt
Filed under: uncultured bacterium
Lineage: Bacteria
Description: partial 16S ribosomal RNA
Rfam family: Bacterial small subunit ribosomal RNA
Source: RNAcentral
GGAUUAGAUACCCUGGUAGUCCACGCUGUAAACGAUGGUCACUAGCUGUUUGGGCGCAAGUCUGAGUGGCUAAGCGAAAGUGAUAAGUGACCCACCUGGGGAGUACGAUCGCAAGAUUGAAACUCAAAGGAAUUGACGGGGGCCCGCACAAGCGGUGGAGCAUGUGGUUUAAUUCGAUGAUACGCGAGGAACCUUACCAGGGCUUAAAUGUGGAUUGACAGGUUUAGAGAUAGACUUUUCUUCGGACAAUUCACAAGGUGCUGCAUGGUUGUCGUCAGCUCGUGCCG